AGAGUUUGACCAUGGCUCAGAUUGAACGCUGGCGGCAGGCCUAACACAUGCAAGUCGAACGGUAACAGGAAGAAGCUUGCUUCUUUGCUGACGAGUGGCGGACGGGUGAGUAAUGUCUGGGAAACUGCCUGAUGGAGGGGGAUAACUACUGGAAACGGUAGCUAAUACCGCAUAACGUCGCAAGACCAAAGAGGGGGACCUUCGGGCCUCUUGCCAUCGGAUGUGCCCAGAUGGGAUUAGCUAGUAGGUGGGGUAACGGCUCACCUAGGCGACGAUCCCUAGCUGGUCUGAGAGGAUGACCAGCCACACUGGAACUGAGACACGGUCCAGACUCCUACGGGAGGCAGCAGUGGGGAAUAUUGCACAAUGGGCGCAAGCCUGAUGCAGCCAUGCCGCGUGUAUGAAGAAGGCCUUCGGGUUGUAAAGUACUUUCAGCGGGGAGGAAGGGAGUAAAGUUAAUACCUUUGCUCAUUGACGUUACCCGCAGAAGAAGCACCGGCUAACUCCGUGCCAGCAGCCGCGGUAAUACGAAGGGUGCAAGCGUUAAUCGGAAUUACUGGGCGUAAAGCGCACGCAGGCGGUUUGUUAAGUCAGAUGUGAAAUCCCCGGGCUCAACCUGGGAACUGCAUCUGAUACUGGCAAGCUUGAGUCUCGUAGAGGGGGGUAGAAUUCCAGGUGUAGCGGUGAAAUGCGUAGAGAUCUGGAGGAAUACCGGUGGCGAAGGCGGCCCCCUGGACGAAGACUGACGCUCAGGUGCGAAAGCGUGGGGAGCAAACAGGAUUAGAUACCCUGGUAGUCCACGCCGUAAACGAUGUCGACUUGGAGGUUGUGCCCUUGAGGCGUGGCUUCCGGAGCUAACGCGUUAAGUCGACCGCCUGGGGAGUACGGCCGCAAGGUUAAAACUCAAAUGAAUUGACGGGGGCCCGCACAAGCGGUGGAGCAUGUGGUUUAAUUCGAUGCAACGCGAAGAACCUUACCUGGUCUUGACAUCCACGGAAGUUUUCAGAGAUGAGAAUGUGCCUUCGGGAACCGUGAGACAGGUGCUGCAUGGCUGUCGUCAGCUCGUGUUGUGAAAUGUUGGGUUAAGUCCCGCAACGAGCGCAACCCUUAUCCUUUGUUGCCAGCGGUCCGGCCGGGAACUCAAAGGAGACUGCCAGUGAUAAACUGGAGGAAGGUGGGGAUGACGUCAAGUCAUCAUGGCCCUUACGACCAGGGCUACACACGUGCUACAAUGGCGCAUACAAAGAGAAGCGACCUCGCGAGAGCAAGCGGACCUCAUAAAGUGCGUCGUAGUCCGGAUUGGAGUCUGCAACUCGACUCCAUGAAGUCGGAAUCGCUAGUAAUCGUGGAUCAGAAUGCCACGGUGAAUACGUUCCCGGGCCUUGUACACACCGCCCGUCACACCAUGGGAGUGGGUUGCAAAAGAAGUAGGUAGCUUAACCUUCGGGAGGGCGCUUACCACUUUGUGAUUCAUGACUGGAGUGAAGUCGUAACAAGGUA
Molecule: ribosomal RNA, 1500 nt
Filed under: metagenome
Description: bacterial SSU rRNA
Rfam family: Bacterial small subunit ribosomal RNA
Source: RNAcentral